Molecule: ribosomal RNA, 408 nt
Filed under: uncultured bacterium
Lineage: Bacteria
Description: partial 16S ribosomal RNA
Rfam family: Bacterial small subunit ribosomal RNA
Source: RNAcentral
GACGAACGCUGGCGGCGUGCCUAAUACAUGCAAGUCGAACGCAGUGGCGGACGGGUGAGUAACACGUGGGUAACCUACCCAUCAGAGGGGGAUAACUACUGGCAACGGUGGCUAAUACCGCAUACUAUCGGAUGAACCCAUAUGGGAUUAGCUAGUAGGUGGGGUAAAGGCUCACCUAGGCGACGAUCUCUAGCUGGUCUGAGAGGAUGAUCAGCCGCAUUGGGACUGAGACACGGCCCAGACUCCUACGGGAGGCAGCAGUGGGGAAUAUUGGGCAAUGGGCGCAAGCCUGACCCAGCAACGCCGCGUGAAGGAAGACGGUCUUCGGAUUGUAAACUUCUUUAGACAGGGACGCGGUACCUGUAGAAUAAGCCACGGCUAACUACGUGCCAGCAGCCGCGGUAAUAC